CAGCCUUGCGGCCGUACUCCCCAGGCGGAGUGCUUAAUGCGUUAACUUCAGCACUAAAGGGCGGAAACCCUCUAACACUUAGCACUCAUCGUUUACGGCGUGGACUACCAGGGUAUCUAAUCCUGUUCGCUCCCCACGCUUUCGCGCCUCAGUGUCAGUUACAGACCAGAAAGUCGCCUUCGCCACUGGUGUUCCUCCAAAUCUCUACGCAUUUCACCGCUACGCAUGGAAUUCCACUUUCCUCUUCUGCACUCAAGUCUCCCAGUUUCCAAUGACCCUCCACGGUUGAGCCGUGGGCUUUCACAUCAGACUUAAGAAACCACCUGCGCGCGCUUUACGCCCAAUAAUUCCGGAUAACGCUUGCCACCUACGUAUUACCGCGGCUGCUGGCACGUAGUUAGCCGUGGCUUUCUGGUUAGGUACCGUCAAGGUGCCAGCUUAUUCAACUAGCACUUGUUCUUCCCUAACAACAGAGUUUUACGACCCGAAAGCCUUCAUCACUCACGCGGCGUUGCUCCGUCAGACUUUCGUCCAUUGCGGAAGAUUCCCUA
RNAcentral lists this ribosomal RNA (551 nucleotides) under uncultured bacterium. Its description in RNAcentral is "partial 16S ribosomal RNA". The record is from RNAcentral.